Long non-coding RNA from Gopherus flavomarginatus (Mexican gopher tortoise), 287 nucleotides. RefSeq lists it as uncharacterized. The transcript has 3 exons. NCBI's taxonomy places the organism in Eukaryota, Metazoa, Chordata, Testudines, Testudinidae. The record is from RefSeq and is a predicted model, not a curated record.
CAGGAUCUGCCCCCGGCCCCGCUGGGAUCCAGGCCUUCCAUUCUCCUGUUAAAGAAGCACCCCCCAGGCUCCCUCUGCCUGUGUGACUGGCCAGCAGGAGAUGGUGUUAACUUUCUAGCCACUUCUCACACUCUGUGAGACAGGCUGCAGAAUGACGUCCAUGUUUUGCUCCAGCUCAUCCCAGCCUGGCGUGGGACAGGGAAGAGAAAUGGCUGCAGUGGAGUCAGUCCAGGUAGAGAUUAUCGGGGGGUUGCUGGUGGGUUCCUGCUGGAGGAAAGGGAGAGCAA